Molecule: non-coding RNA, 424 nt
Organism: Poecilia reticulata (guppy)
Lineage: Eukaryota; Metazoa; Chordata; Actinopteri; Cyprinodontiformes; Poeciliidae
Source: RefSeq, a predicted model, not a curated record
AUCUGUGGCGGAUUACCUAAUUGACGGCAGCAUAAGAGGGGUGGAACGCCGGUACUUCGACGCCAGAGUGUCAACCGUUGAUGGAUCCGCCCUGAUCUGGUUGCCUGCUGUACCAGUUACCCAGCCACGACGCCUUGGGUAGCCUCCCCCAUAUGCCUGACAAACAAGACUCAUCAGUUUCCAUAACUCCAUUACCUCUCAGAAGUUUCCGACCGGCCGUUCCCCCCUACUACCCGCCGCCUUCAGAGACAAACCCUCCUGUCCGCCCUCCAACGCCACUUUCCAACCCACCACGCCUCACGCAGAGACCCCUGAACCUACCACUCCCCCUCCAAGCCGUUUGAACGCACAGAGCCAUACCCCGAGAGCAGCCGAGCAGUUCCCGGACCAGCUUCACUUUCUGUUUGCAUCUGUAAAAUAAACC